RNAcentral lists this ribosomal RNA (784 nucleotides) under uncultured Alphaproteobacteria bacterium. RNAcentral describes it as "bacterial SSU rRNA". It matches the Rfam family "Bacterial small subunit ribosomal RNA", at positions 45 to 878 of the family's 1533-position model. Lineage: Bacteria; Pseudomonadati; Pseudomonadota; Alphaproteobacteria. The record is from RNAcentral.
GGCCUAACACAUGCAAGUCGAGCGCGCCUUCGGGUGAGCGGCGGACGGGUUAGUAACGCGUGGGAACGUGCCCUUCUCUACGGAAUAGCCUCUGGAAACGGAGAGUAAUACCGUAUACGCCCUUUGGGGGAAAGAUUUAUCGGAGAAGGAUCGGCCCGCGUUAGAUUAGGUAGUUGGUGGGGUAACGGCCUACCAGGCCUACGAUCUAUAGCUGGUUUUAGAGGAUGAUCAGCAACACUGGGACUGAGACACGGCCCAGACUCCUACGGGAGGCAGCAGUGGGGAAUCUUAGACAAUGGGGGCAACCCUGAUCUAGCCAUGCCGCGUGAGUGAUGAAGGCCUUAGGGUCGUAAAGCUCUUUCGCCUGUGAUGAUAAUGACAGUAGCAGGUAAAGAAACCCCGGCUAACUCCGUGCCAGCAGCCGCGGUAAUACGGAGGGGGUUAGCGUUGUUCGGAAUUACUGGGCGUAAAGCGCGCGUAGGCGGAUUAGAAAGUUGGGGGUGAAAUCCCGGGGCUCAACCUCGGAACUGCCUCCAAAACUGCUAGUCUAGAGUUCGAGAGAGGUGAGUGGAAUUCCGAGUGUAGAGGUGAAAUUCGUAGAUAUUCGGAGGAACACCAGUGGCGAAGGCGGCUCACUGGCUCGAUACUGACGCUGAGGUGCGAAAGUGUGGGGAGCAAACAGGAUUAGAUACCCUGGUAGUCCACACCGUAAACGAUGAAUGCCAGUCGUCGGGUAGUAUACUAUUCGGUGACACACCUAACGGAUUAAGCAUUCCGCCUGGGG